UUCCUUAGUAACGGCGAGCGAAGUGGGAAGAAGCCCAGGUCUGAAAUCUCCCAGCUGGCAAUUGUCACGGUUGGGCGAAUUGUGGUCUGGAGAGGCGGACUGUCCCGAUCCACUGCUUGCGAGCCCGAAGUUGACUUGGAACGGCACGCCAGAGAGGGUGAGAGCCCCGUAGGGCCCGGAAAUCGGAAGCAGCGGGACGAGGGUCCGUACUCGUAGAGUCGGGUUGUUUGGGAAUGCAGCCCCAAGUGGGUGGUAGACUCCAUCCAAGGCUAAAUACGGGCGCGAGACCGAUAGCUGACAAGUACCGUGAGGGAAAGGUGAAAAGCACUUUGAAGAGAGAGUUCAAUAGACCGUGAAACCGUUGGGAGGGAAGCUCAGGGUGUCGAGGUUGUCGUGCUCUGUCUAAGUUCAGCCGGUGGUGUCGGGGUUGCCUUACGCUGCUGGUGCAUUCUUGGGCGGAGUUGGACCGUCAGUUGGGAAGAGGCCGGGACCUGUUUGUCGGCGGUCGGGAGGUACGCCUUGGACCUCCUUUGGGGUUCAAGGUGACGUAUAGCCGUUCCGUCGUGGUCCCGGUGUCUCUUUCAGGUGCGUUGGAUGUCUGAUCGUCCAGAACAGUAAGAUGCAGUCUCUCUUUCGUGGGGGACCGGGCCCGUUUGGCAGUCGCGAUGCGUUGGUGAGCCGUGUUCCGUUCUCUCUCCGUUUAGCUUCGGCUUGCGGG
RNAcentral lists this ribosomal RNA (718 nucleotides) under Callyspongia sp. 1 JV-2020. RNAcentral's name for it is "partial large subunit ribosomal RNA". It matches the Rfam family "Eukaryotic large subunit ribosomal RNA", at positions 76 to 628 of the family's 3401-position model. Lineage: Eukaryota; Metazoa; Porifera; Demospongiae; Haplosclerida; Callyspongiidae. The record is from RNAcentral.